Molecule: ribosomal RNA, 266 nt
Filed under: uncultured prokaryote
Description: partial 16S ribosomal RNA
Rfam family: Bacterial small subunit ribosomal RNA
Source: RNAcentral
UACGGAGGAUCCGAGCGUUAUCCGGAUUUAUUGGGUUUAAAGGGUGCGCAGGCGGGAGAUUAAGUCGGCGGUGAAAUUUUGCAGCUCAACUGUAAAAGUGCCUUCGAAACUGGUUUCCUUGAGUGUAGAUGAAGUAGGCGGAAUUUGUGGUGUAGCGGUGAAAUGCAUAGAUAUCACGAGGAACUCCGAUUGCGCAGGCAGCUUACUAAACUACUACUGACGCUCAGGCACGAAGGCGUGGGGAUCAAACAGGAUUAGAUACCCGU